Molecule: ribosomal RNA, 253 nt
Filed under: uncultured bacterium
Lineage: Bacteria
Description: partial 16S ribosomal RNA
Rfam family: Bacterial small subunit ribosomal RNA
Source: RNAcentral
UACGUACGAGGCGAGCGUUAUCCGGAAUUACUGGGCGUAAAGCGUGCGCAGGCGGCUUCCCAAGUCAGUGGUGAAAGCCCGGAGCUCAACUCCGGAAAUGCCAUUGAAACUGUGAAGCUUGAGAACGAGAGAGGUGAGUGGAAUUCCCAGUGUAGAGGUGAAAUUCGUAGAUAUUGGGAAGAACACCAGUGGCGAAGGCGGCUCACUGGCUCGUAACUGACGCUCAUGCACGACAGCGUGGGGAUCAAACAGG